This 502-nucleotide small RNA is filed under the name Histoplasma capsulatum var. duboisii H88. RNAcentral's name for it is "Histoplasma capsulatum H88 hypothetical RNA". The record is from RNAcentral. Lineage: Eukaryota; Fungi; Ascomycota; Eurotiomycetes; Onygenales; Ajellomycetaceae.
AUGGUUUUCAGCCAAAAAAGAAAAAGAAAAAGAAAAAAGAAAAAAGAAAAGAGGAAGAAGGUUCCGAUAUUGGGUUCAGGUUUAACCAAUUUUCCCCGACCUAUCACCUCGAGGGUGACCCUGUCCAUAAUCGGAUCCGGUGACAGUUGAUUGGCGUCUCAAUUAAUCAAUCCCUCCUAGCGGGGGUGAGGCCAUCUCCAACCCCCCAACGAAGCAAAACAAGAAUGGAGGAUGCUGAUGGGUGAAUCAUCCCUUCGCCGACCCACCGACUACAUGUUCUCGCUCGAACACGGAGACUGGGAAAACCGAGGAUGAGCCGCAAUAGAGCAGGGAUGAACGGCCUGUUCAUUUUCAAAAUUCCCUAACCAGCUUCGCAAGUUGAACCCCAAAUUUUUAGGCCGUUAGAAGCCUGGCCGAGGCUCCAUGCGGGUUGCAAGAGCGAGAUCCCUCCAACGCUAUCAAUGACUGCAGUUGACUUGUCGUAUCUCGGGUCAAGCUUACG